CUUUAUUUCAACUAACUCCUACAGGAAGCAGCCAUCUGGCCUGCCCCUUUAGAACAUAUCUUUUAUAACAUCAUGACCUGGGACACAGCCUGGUGAUGGAGGAUUCCAAGACCUGGCUUUGUCAGACUCCUGAAGAUAAGCAGCAUGAGAGAGGCUGGCCUUAUGUGAAUCACUUCUAUACAAGACUAAAAUAUGGGAAGCAGACUGCCAAUUUAUCAAUUCACAAUGGAGUCAAGGAAGAUGAGGAGAAAUAUUCAUAACAUCAUUCAAGGUUGCAAACUCUCCAUUGUGACUUUGCUAGAAUCUUCCUGCAGAUCAGUGACAACCAGAUGAGCUGUUUCUGUUUAUGAACAUACAAUGACUUUCAAGUCAUUACUGUGACAUUGCAUCCGGUCUGUUUGGAUUGCGUCUUAGGUGUUUGUGAAUUCUCUCAUCAUACAAUUAUACAAUGUUUGUGUUACUCUCAGUAGGAUUGUCUUGAAGCUCUUUCCCUCUAAUUGUUUUGAGUAUUUUGCUAGUGUAACUGCAACCUAAUUUCUGUUAUUUUUAACAUCUUGGGGUAUGUUCUAAUUAUUUUCUUUGUAUGCCACCAAGUUAAUAAAUAAAGUGUUGAUGGAAAACGGUCUCAGAAUGGAUGAUAAAACUAUUUAACUUCUGAAAAGUGGAUAUAUCUUUAAGAAUUCCAAAUAGCAGCGGAAUCUCAAA
This is a non-coding RNA of Ictidomys tridecemlineatus (thirteen-lined ground squirrel), 705 nucleotides long. NCBI's taxonomy places the organism in Eukaryota, Metazoa, Chordata, Mammalia, Rodentia, Sciuridae. The record is from RefSeq and is a predicted model, not a curated record.